Molecule: ribosomal RNA, 496 nt
Filed under: uncultured bacterium
Lineage: Bacteria
Description: partial 16S ribosomal RNA
Rfam family: Bacterial small subunit ribosomal RNA
Source: RNAcentral
AUGAACGCUGGCGGCGUGCCUAAUACAUGCAAGUCGAGCGAACAGACGAGGAGCUUGCUCCUCUGACGUUAGCGGCGGACGGGUGAGUAACACGUGGAUAACCUACCUAUAAGACUGGGAUAACUUCGGGAAACCGGAGCUAAUACCGGAUAAUAUAUUGAACCGCAUGGUUCAAUAGGGAAAGACGGUUUUGCUGUCACUUAUAGAUGUAUCCGCGCCGCAUUAGCUAGUUGGUAAGGUAACGGCUUACCAAGGCAACGAUGCGUAGCCGCCCUGAGAGGGUGAUCGGCCACACUGGAACUGAGGCACGGCCCAGACGCCUACGGGAGGCAGCGGUAGGGAAUCUUCCGGGAUGGGCGAAAGCCUAACGGAGCAACGCCGCGUGAGUGAUGAAGGUCUUCGGAUCGUAAAACUCUGUUAUUAGGGAAGAACAAAUGUGUAAGUAACUAUGCACGUCUUGACGGUACCUAAUCAGAAAGCCACGGCUAACUACGUG